RNAcentral lists this long non-coding RNA (450 nucleotides) under Carica papaya (papaya). RNAcentral describes it as "long non-coding RNA (CPAP_LNC011861)". Lineage: Eukaryota; Viridiplantae; Streptophyta; Magnoliopsida; Brassicales; Caricaceae. The record is from RNAcentral.
CAGCACGCACGUCCCAUCCUCACACCAGCUUGUACGAGACGUGCUCAAAGCGUACACAUCCCUUCUGCGUGCAAAUCUUGUCGCACAUAGGCGGACCAUUCGUGCGUCACUUCGUGCACGGACUAGCACCGAACACUAUGCGCAUGUCGUUCGCACAACAAGCCUGCACAGAUAAGCCCUGUGCACCUAGGGCUUGCACGGAUUAGGCCUGCGAGCGUGGCACCUUGUGCGCCUAGGCUCUGCAAGCGCUCAAACUAGCCCCUGCACACGCAACAGCAGAUUUGUGCGCCUGUAGGCUAGCCUACAGUGCGCCACUACUACCUUAGGCAACGCGCCACCGCUGCCGGUGGAGGAAGUCUUCCUCCCUCGGUUUUAUGCCAAGAAUAUUUUUCUCCUAUCUCUUCACCAAAUUUUGCCACUUGGAACAAAUCGAACUGUUCUGAAAUUCUA